CGCCGCCGCGGUAAUACGAAGGGGGCUAGCGUUGCUCGGAAUUACUGGGCGUAAGGCGCACGUAGGCGGAUUUUUAAGUCAGGGGUGAAAUCCCGAGGCUCAACCUCGGAACUGCCUUUGAUACUGGAGAUCUUGAGUUCGGAAGAGGUUGGUGGAACAGCUAGUGUAGAGGUGAAAUUCGUAGAUAUUAGCUAGAACACCAGUGGCGAAGGCGGCCAACUGGUCCGAUACUGACGCUGAGGUGCGAAAGCGUGGGGAGCAAACAGGAUUAGAUACCCGAGUAGUCCCUGUCUCUUAUACA
RNAcentral lists this ribosomal RNA (301 nucleotides) under uncultured bacterium. Its description in RNAcentral is "partial 16S ribosomal RNA". It matches the Rfam family "Bacterial small subunit ribosomal RNA", at positions 510 to 808 of the family's 1533-position model. The record is from RNAcentral.